RNAcentral lists this ribosomal RNA (465 nucleotides) under Vreelandella stevensii. RNAcentral's name for it is "partial 16S ribosomal RNA". It matches the Rfam family "Bacterial small subunit ribosomal RNA", at positions 338 to 795 of the family's 1533-position model. The record is from RNAcentral. Lineage: Bacteria; Pseudomonadati; Pseudomonadota; Gammaproteobacteria; Oceanospirillales; Halomonadaceae.
CCUACGGGUGGCUGCAGUGGGGAAUAUUGGACAAUGGGGGGAACCCUGAUCCAGCCAUGCCGCGUGUGUGAAGAAGGCCCUCGGGUUGUAAAGCACUUUCAGUGAGGAAGAACGCCUGGUGGUUAAUACCCAUCAGGAAAGACAUCACUCACAGAAGAAGCACCGGCUAACUCCGUGCCAGCAGCCGCGGUAAUACGGAGGGUGCGAGCGUUAAUCGGAAUUACUGGGCGUAAAGCGCGCGUAGGUGGCUUGAUAAGCCGGUUGUGAAAGCCCCGGGCUCAACCUGGGAACGGCAUCCGGAACUGUCAAGCUAGAGUGCAGGAGAGGAAGGUAGAAUUCCCGAUGUAGCGGUGAAAUGCGUAGAGAUCGGGAGGAAUACCAGUGGCGAAGGCGGCCUUCUGGACUGACACUGACACUGAGGUGCGAAAGCGUGGGUAGCAAACAGGAUUAGAUACCCCGGUAGUC